This 73-nucleotide transfer RNA is filed under the name Paramuricea clavata. It matches the Rfam family "tRNA". From Rfam's summary of the family: Transfer RNA (tRNA) molecules are approximately 80 nucleotides in length. Their secondary structure includes four short double-helical elements and three loops (D, anti-codon, and T loops). Lineage: Eukaryota; Metazoa; Cnidaria; Anthozoa; Malacalcyonacea; Plexauridae. The record is from Rfam by way of RNAcentral.
GCCUCUGUAGCUCAGUUGGUUAGAGCGCUGGACCGGAAUCGCAGGGCCGUAGGUUCAAUUCCUACCAGAGGAC